RNAcentral lists this ribosomal RNA (381 nucleotides) under uncultured bacterium. RNAcentral's name for it is "bacterial SSU rRNA". It matches the Rfam family "Bacterial small subunit ribosomal RNA", at positions 28 to 411 of the family's 1533-position model. The record is from RNAcentral.
GACGAACGCUGGCGGCGUGCUUAACACAUGCAAGUCGAGCGGUAAGGCCCUUUCGGGGGUACGACGAGCGGCGAACGGGUGAGUAACACGUGGGUGACCUGCCCUCAGCUCUGGGAUAAGCCUGGGAAACGUGGGUCUAAUACCGGAUAUGACUCCAUGACGCAUGUUGUGGGGUGGAAAGCCUUGUGCGGCUAGGGAUGGGCCCGCGGCCUAUCAGCUUGUUGGUGGGGUGAUGGCCACCAAGGCGACGACGGUAGCCGGCCUGAGAGGCGACCGGCCGACACUGGGACUGAGACACGGCCCAGACUCCUACGGGAGGCAGCAGUGGGGAAUCUUGCGCAAUGGCGAAAGCCUGACGCAGCGACGCCGCGUGAGGGAUGA